Acanthochromis polyacanthus (spiny chromis) is the source of this 7419-nucleotide long non-coding RNA. RefSeq lists it as uncharacterized. Lineage: Eukaryota; Metazoa; Chordata; Actinopteri; Pomacentridae. The record is from RefSeq and is a predicted model, not a curated record. The transcript has 2 exons.
ACAAACCAUUCAGCUGUGAGCAGUGUGGAAAGGCUUUUACUCGGAAGAGUUAUCUAGCAAAACAUCAACUCAUUCACAGUGGAGUUAAACCAUUCAACUGUGAUCAGUGUGGAAAGGCUUUUACUCUGAAGAGUAAUCUAGCAAAACAUCAACUCAUUCACAGUGGAGUUAAACCAUUCAACUGUGAUCAGUGUGGAAAGGCUUUUACUCAGAAGAGUAAUCUGGCAAAACAUCAACUCAUUCACAGUGGAGUUAAACCAUUCAGCUGUGAUCAGUGUGGAAAGGCUUUUACUGACAAGAGAAACUUAAAAAGUCAUCAACUCAUUCACAGUGGAGUUAAACCAUUCUACUGUGAUCAGUGUGUGAAAACCUUUACUCAACAUGAACAGUUGUUUAUCCAUCAAUGCCCCCAUUCUGGUACAAAGCGGUACCACUGUGACUCCUGUGAAAAAAACUUUCAAGCACCAACAAAGCUUAAAAUGUCACCAACGCAUCCACACUGGAUAUGAUGUGUAUGUAUGUGAUUACUGUGGCGAACUAUUUGUACAGUACUCACAGUUAAAAGCUCAUGAAGUGACCCACACUGGGGUUAAACCAUAUGUUUGUGACCAGUGUGGGAAACGCUACAGCUACAUUUCACACCUCAAAGUUCACCAACGUGUCCACACUGGGGAGAGACCAUACAGAUGUGAGGAGUGUAAGAAGACUUUUAGAACUUUGGGUUCCCUGAAACAACACCAGCAGAUCCACACCAGAAAGAAAGCAUUCAAUCAGUGUCACAGUGAGAACGGAACAGAUGGACAAAACUCUCAGACUUGUCAGCACUCUGCCAAUGGUGAACAGUGCUGCUUUGACCAGUCUGGACCAACGUCCAAUCAACAAGGAACCCUACAACGACACCAUCGUAUGCACACUGGACACAGACUGAACCCCUGCCAAGAAGAUUUCUCCAUGCAGGAUUCAGUAGAAGUUCAUGAAGUCCUCCACAAACUUAAAGUCCUUGAGAUCCGGCUUCACAGAAUUCAGGUCUAAUUUCUUGUUUUACUGUCUUCGUUGCUUCGUUGCAAAAUCCAUUAAGAGGAAAGCUGUCGUUAACAGAUGUGACUGGUAAAUUAAUUAAACCAUUCAAAGUGGUUACUCAUUUAAAUGAAUUAUCAGUGGCAGAGGGAUAGACGUGUGGAUGGAGGCAGUGAGCAGCAGGUAGAAUUUCCUCAAUUACCACCCUUUAAGCUGCGGUCAAUUUUCCCCUGAAAUUUCUACUGAAGAUGUACAGAAAGUAAAUUGAAUGCUGUUCUUGAACUGUUUGGAGUACAGGCAUGGUUGGGGUCUCCUUUAAAAGCUGACAACCUGAAUUUUCACCCAGUGCAGUCAGAAUUACUCUAGGUGCUACUGACAGAGUUAUUUAUGUUGGAACACACUGAAUUAGGAUGAAUUUUAUUCACGCCUAAAUUUUUUCCCUAAUAAAACACCUGAAAAUUAGUGUGGCAGCACUGUGACAGCUUGAAACACAACAAGGCAACAGCCUGGGGUCUUACAUAGUUCAGGACAAAAUUUCAGAGCAAUACUACAAGAAAUGAGUGUUUCACACGUUUUUGUACUAAUAUGCCCAAUUAUGUCAAUUUUGGACACCCUAUGUACACCCUGUGCAAAAAUGGUAUAUGUUCGUUUAUCAGCCCUUUUUCACAUUAUUUUCACUCCAAAAACUCAUAAAGAACUCAAAAAAUCACUUCAGAUAAGCUUCAGUGUGGAUCUUGAUCUGAAUCAGAGGCACAGACGGAGACAGAAAAGCUGCAGCUCCUGGCCGCAGCAGGAGAGCAGGAGGUGUGAAAAAUCACACAGAGCCGCUAAAACCCGCCUCUCGGCUAUUCAGCAAGCUCAUUGGCUACAUGCCCUGUCCGUCAAACGUUUCCUCCGACGUGAUUUGCUCAGAAUUUACUGAUGAGAUGAGGGUCACCAGAUCCAUCGUUGGCUGUUUAGGCUUCGGAGGCAGCGAUGAGUCACUUGAUUGGUUGAAAUGCGGUUGGAAUCGAAAGCAGAGGCUUCAGUCGCCAUUUUCAGACCGAGACCGUGUGGAUUUCUGAAUGCUUCAUAAAAUUAUGGAUAAAAAUGCAGUGAAUUAUGGAACACGCGGCUCCACCAUGCGCCACGUGGACGCGCACGGAGCCGAGCUAUUUGUGGAUUAUUUACUUAUUUCUAGACAUGUUUUGGAGAAAAUAUGAUACUUGCUAGUAUUGUCUGGAUGACUACUCUUGGAUUAUGGCCGGUUUUGUGGAUUAUUUUCAUCGUUGACCGGUAAAAGACCAUCCAAAGGUAAGUUAUGCCCUUUAUGUGUCCUUUAAAUUUUUGUUGUUUGUUUUAGAAAUGUGUUUAUAUUACCCGCUGUGGUAAUCACAUCUGAAAGUGGUUUAUACCGGCGGAUUCAUGAGACUCUAAGCUUUCCAUGCAUGUAUAGUGUUUCUAUCAUCGCGUUUGAAGCUAAAAAUGCUUUUGCCGUUAAACUUCAGCAGGCCAUUUUGGGCCCGAAUACGGGCCCGUGCGGGUUAAGUGGUUGUUCCUCAGAUCCCUCUGGGCUGCAGGAACCCGUUAGAUGCAGAGCUGGUGCAGUGAUUCUCUGAUGGUUUAUCAUAAUUAAUUUAGGAGAUUACUGACCGUAGGUAUCUAUCUAUCCAUCUAUAAUCUAUCUAUAGGAAUCUCUAAUAUUGAACAAGUAGAUCAACUAAUCUCAGAUUACGUGUGAGUUGAAAUAAAAAAACAUGAAGUGUUCUAUGAAAAGUCCAAUCUUUGAAAGCUGACAUGUCGUUUAGAAUCAUUUCUUUGUAAAUUAGCUUCAUCCAGUCAUUACCAUGACAUUGGCAUCAUGGAACCAUGACCACAUAUAUGUGUCUGGAGAUAGUGGCAUUUUUAUAACGCCACAUUUUCAUGCUUUGACAGAUACAGUGAGGAAAAAAGUUUUCAGACACCCUGAAAAUUUUUACACAAUCUUAAAUAUCAUCAUGAAAUAUUUGUUAGUCUUUUUGUGUGUUUCUAAGGGUGUGGCUGCAUCAGACAGACACAAAUACAAAUGAUAUAUUUUUUUGUUUGUUGUUUACAAGAAAAACUAACAAAACUAAAUUCUACCAAAUUUCUCGUUUUAUGGAACCAGUCAAUUUUCAGUUUUUAAUGUCUUUUUUAGGAUGUGUUUAGUUUUAUGAUUGUACUAAAAUAAAUGACUCUAGAAGACCUCAAAGUGAUUCUUAAUGCAGUAUUUCACAAAGGUAUGGGAUGUCCAAAAACUUUUUUCCACUGCUGUAUUUAACAACAAUCUGAUCUGCUGAUGUUAGCAAGACAAACAAGUGAAGGUUUCAGGCUUUUAUCUAGAAUUGUUCUUGAGAUAUUCAUCUUCAAACAGCCUCAAAUUUCAAUGUGAGAAAAGAAAAACGAGUGAAACUGGGUCUACAGUCCACUGAAAAACCUCUAAGAAAGUAUCUGACAUAUUGGGUGAUGUGUAUGACCCAGCACCCACAGCUGGUUGGGUGUCAUGUGGCUCUGCGUUCUGAUUGGAUGAUUGUCCAACCACUGCCACAAGUAUGAAGGUCAUCCUGCAGGCGUGGCAGGAACACGGAGUGGAAACACAAUAGAUGUGUUCAUCUGGCCAUGCUGAGGGAACCCUCUGCUUCAAGCUAGUGGAGAACAUCAUAGUAGGUAGAGUCCCUAUAUUAUCAGAGUAUCGACAUGACGGGUCCAAAAAAUUUUGGUCACGUGAUCAAUAUGCGCCAUUUUGCUUCCUAUUCAUGAACGCCGGGUUUUCUGUUAACGUUGUUUACACUGCAGAGAGUAAUUCUAGGUCCUUUUUCGCUUCUUAAAUACCUGAAAAAUGACAGGCUGUUGUGCCUUUGGGUGCACAAAUCGAUCGUAGAAGGGAUUCCACAUGUUUAGAUUUCCCAGUAAUAGUCAAAGAAGGAAACUGUGGGAAAAUAAAGUCCGGAGAGUGGGAUGGAAACCGACUUCAUCGUUUUUGUGCCAGGUUAGUCCCAUGUAUGUACUUUCAUGUUAUGGUGUAUGGGUGAAUGACAGAUAGAAAAGUUUGAUGUGAUUUUAGGCAGUUGUGGUUAUUUUGACUUUGACCAUAUUCAUGCAUGGAGAUGUGUUACUGGUGACUGUUGGGUACCGUAACCCGUUAAACCUCCGUAUUCGGGCUGUCUUGAGAUGUGCAAACGUAUUUUGCUAAAUUGACCGAAGCUGCAAACUCGAUGACAGAAACAUUAUACACCCAUGGAAAGCUUAGAUUCUCAUGAAUCCACCGGUAUAAACCACUUUCAAAUGUGAUUACCACAGCGGGUAAUAUAAACACAUUUGUCCAACAAAUAACAUAAACAGCAAAACUCACCUUUGAAUCCUCAUAACUAGUCACAGAUGAAAAUAUUCCACUAAAAACGGCCAUAAUCCAACCUUGGACAUCCAGAAAAAAAAAGCCAGUAAUAUAUUUUGUCCAAAACAUGUCUUCAAAUCAGUAAACAAUCCACAAGUAGCAAGUUUUUGUGAAUGUGCACCUCGCGCUGCGCGUCCCAUAUUGAGUGAAUAGAAACAAAAUGGCUUCAAAUCCCCAGUUGUCGCUGCUCUGAUAAUACAGGGGCUCUAAUAGUAGGUGCUGGUUACUGCCCCCUACAGGUCUCUACACAGUCCUUAAUCCUGGAGAAUUAGAAAAUGACUAAAAAAUAUAUUUUAACUUUAUACAAUAAAAAAUUAACUUACACUCAACUUCUCACAUGACUAAUUAACCCUGUCCUGUGGGUCAAAAUGGACUCGUUUUAAAGUUUGAAAAUGUGGGAAUAAAUAUUUUCACAGUGAAACUUCUGAUGGCCACGUUUUCAACAUUUUUGGGAAAUCUUUGAACAUUUUUAGGUGGAAAUAAAAACUUAAAAAUAUUUCUAAAGAACAUUCACAAAAAAAUCAACCAAAAUCCAGUGAAAUUAACUGGAUUGUUGAUGAUGUUUUUAAAGAAAAUAUUAGAAGUUUUACUGAAAUGUAUAUAAUCACUUUAGAUAUUUUUAGGAUUUUUUGGUAAGAUUUUUACUAUUUUUUUUUGGAAAAUAGUUAUAACAAUUUUCUUGCCAAAUUUGGGUGAUUUUUUUGAAAAGAAAACUUUUAUGAAAUUACUGGAAUUUUCUUCCUGAAGGUUUUACAAAUUUUCAGAAAUUUGGGGAAUUUUUUUAUUUUUUUAGACAAGGAAACAAUGUUUUUUGUGCCUGUAAAAUGAGGACAACAGGAGGGUUAAAACAUUAAAAGGCAACAUCAUUAAGGUUUCUUUUAUCAAACGUUUUUCAUCAACAAGUACACAAAAUAGAUUAAAAAUAUAAUCUAACAUAUUUACUGAUUAAAAACUUUGAAUUUCUUCUUUAUGUUGUUCUUCUGCAUAACUCACUAUUUCAAACUGGCUCAUGUUACUUCCAUGUGAUCUGCCAUUAAAACGGCCACAUUCUACCAUAAACACUGUAAAUAAUAACACGCCUGCUCAAAGUUAAAGGCCAACAUACGACCCAAACAUGACAUGGAUUUGGUGCCACUUUCAACUAAGAUGAUCUCUUCUGUUAAACAAAGCGUUGAUUGUGAAUCUUUUUUCCAGAUAUGAAGCUGCUCCUUCCAGGUCCACAGACAGUAAACAAAACAAAGCUCUCUGUAAAAACCCUCAGAAUGUUGAAUAGAAUAAAUGUGGACAGUUUCAUGACUGUAAGAGAAGAUUUCUGGAUCAUUUUGUGUCUCAUUUGUGUCAUUAUGUGUUUUGUUUUGUUCAGUUUACGUCUUUCUGUCUGGUUUUAAACAGUUUGCAUCUUUUCAUGUUAUUUUUUCUUCCAUUUUGGUCAUUUUGUGCCUUUAUUUUGACCAAUAUGUGUCUCAUUAUGAUCACUUUGUGUGUUUUUAAGUUUAUUUCUGUUUAAAAUUGUUCAUCUUGUUAGUUCUUUUGGUCAGUUCACGUCUAUUUCAUCAUUCUGUGACUCAGUGGCCAUUUCUGUUUCAGUUUUCAUCUCAUUUUUGCUCUGAAUUGCUCAUUUUAUCUCAUUUUGGUCAUUUUCCAUCACUUUAAAGUUGUUUUUGUUCAAUUUUGGUCAUUUUGCAUCUUAUUGGAUCAUUUUGGUCAUUUUGUGUCAGAAUGUGUUUAAUUUUGAUCAGUUUACAUCUUUUGGUCCGUUUUUAAACAUGUUGCAUCUUUUCGUGUUUUUUUUGUGGUAAUUUUUAUUUUUUUUUCAUCAAGUUUUGGUCAUUUAUGUGUCUAAUUCAGGUAAUGUUCCUUCUCUUUAUGUUGUGUUUUUGUACCAUUUUGGUCAUUUAAAGUUUUUUGUUCCAUUGUGGACAUUUUGUGUCUCAUUUAGAUCAUUUUUUUGUGUCAUUUUGGACAUUUUGCAUCAGUUUAAGGUUUUUCUGUUUCAUUUUAUGUCUCAUUUUGUGCAUUUCAGUCUGUUUUUAGGGAAAAAGUGUCAUAAAUCAGACUGUCAAUGAUAUGUGAACAAACCUUUCUGUAAAAACUUUCAGAAUGUUGAAUAGAAUAAAUGUGGACUGACUAGGUAACCUUACAGAACCUUUACUGUUGUGAUGUACGCAUUAACCUGACUUUAUGCACUCCAAGGCGCGGGGGAGGGGUGAAAUUACGAAUUAUGGAAUGUGAAUAUAAUAAUAACGAUAAUAAUAAUGAUAAAAUAUUAAAUAAAUAAAAUAAAACCCUUCCCCCCCGCUGUAUGUCUCACACACACACACACACACACACACAAAGGCAUGUUCGCCUGUGGGGGAGAAAGCACAAAAUUUAAAUUUGAAUCUCACCUUUUGGUUUUUAAGAACACAUUUGCUUCUGUUACAUACCAGCAUCUGGCUCUGAAAGACUGCUGAGAGUUUGUCUUUGCUUCUUUAACCCUCUAAGACCAAAAAAUAAAGACAACUUAAAAAGUUUCUAUAAAUAAAUAAUGUACGGAGGCUGUAUUUUUGCAGCAGUGGGUUUUACAGGGUUAAAAAGAUAUUUCUGUAUUGAAAUCACAAUUAUUUAGAUGUCAGUUGUUCUCCAGCUGCUUAAAUAUAUAGUUUGUUAAAUUAUGCUCCAUAAACCAGCUCUAAAUGAGGUCAACUUAAGCCUCUAAGACCAAAAAAUAAAGAAAACUUAAAAACAUACACAUGUGAGAAAGAAUUGAUAUAGGAAAAAAUAAAAUUAAGUAAAACAAAAAGUUUCUCUAAAUAAUGUAAGGAGGCUGUAUUUUUGCAGCAGUAACAGUAACAGUUUCUACCCCACAGCAAUAACUACCCUCAAUGCCUUAAGGAAUGUCUGAUUGAGUAUUUAUUUAUUGUUUUUCUAUUUAUUAACUUGUGUUGUCUUUUUUAAUGAUGCUCUGACUGUCUGGUACUUUUAAAUGUUGUUGUACUGGUUACAAUGACAAUAAAGGACUAUUCUAUUCA